Molecule: long non-coding RNA, 163 nt
Organism: Gadus morhua (Atlantic cod)
Lineage: Eukaryota; Metazoa; Chordata; Actinopteri; Gadiformes; Gadidae
Exons: 2
Source: RefSeq, a predicted model, not a curated record
UCAUGGCGCAUUGACUCUCUCUGCAUCCUCCAACCCGCUGAAGACCUUCCCUUUGACAUCCACACCAGUGAAAACCUUUCCCUCGGACCAAGGACUAUCGACAUCGUGCCCCGACACACCUGGGACCCUUGAUUCAAGUUUUAGCACUGUGGGUGAAGCAGAC